RNAcentral lists this ribosomal RNA (1297 nucleotides) under metagenome. Its description in RNAcentral is "bacterial LSU rRNA". It matches the Rfam family "Bacterial large subunit ribosomal RNA", at positions 1635 to 2925 of the family's 2925-position model. The record is from RNAcentral.
GACACGACCGUACCGCAAACCGACACUGGUGCGCGAGAUGAGUAUUCUAAGGCGCUUGAGGGAACUCAGGAGAAGGAACUCGGCAAAUUGACACCGUAACUUCGGAAGAAGGUGUGCCUUUAGUAGGUGAACCUGUACAAGGGGAGCCCAAUGAGGUUGCAAAAAAUCGGUGGCUGCGACUGUUUAAUAAAAACACAGCACUCUGCAAACACGAAAGUGGACGUAUAGGGUGUGACGCCUGCCCGGUGCUGGAAGAUUAAAUGAUGGGGUGCAAGCUCUUGAUUGAAGUCCCAGUAAACGGCGGCCGUAACUAUAACGGUCCUAAGGUAGCGAAAUUCCUUGUCGGGUAAGUUCCGACCUGCACGAAUGGCGUAACGAUGGCCACACUGUCUCCUCCUGAGACUCAGCGAAGUUGAAAUGUUUGUGAUGAUGCAAUCUCCCCGCGGAAAGACGGAAAGACCCCAUGAACCUUUACUGUAGCUUUGUAUUGGACUUUGAACAGAUCUGUGUAGGAUAGGUGGGAGGCUUUGAAGUGUGGUCGCUAGAUCGCAUGGAGCCAACGUUGAAAUACCACCCUGGUGUGUUUGAGGUUCUAACCUAGGCCCGUAAUCCGGGUCGGGGACAGUGCAUGGUAGGCAGUUUGACUGGGGCGGUCUCCUCCCAAAGCGUAACGGAGGAGUUCGAAGGUACGCUAGGUACGGUCGGACAUCGUGCUAAUAGUGCAAUGGCAUAAGCGUGCUUAACUGCGAGACUGACAAGUCGAGCAGAUGCGAAAGCAGGACAUAGUGAUCCGGUGGUUCUAUGGAAGGGCCAUCGCUCAACGGAUAAAAGGUACUCUGGGGAUAACAGGCUGAUACCGCCCAAGAGUUCAUAUCGACGGCGGUGUUUGGCACCUCGAUGUCGGCUCAUCUCAUCCUGGGGCUGUAGCCGGUCCCAAGGGUAUGGCUGUUCGCCAUUUAAAGAGGUACGUGAGCUGGGUUUAAAACGUCGUGAGACAGUUUGGUCCCUAUCUUCCGUGGGCGCUGCAGAUUUGAGGAAGCCUGCUCCUAGUACGAGAGGACCGGAGUGGACACACCUCUGGUGUAUCGGUUGUCACGCCAGUGGCAUUGCCGAGUAGCUAUGUGUGGAAGAGAUAACCGCUGAAAGCAUCUAAGCGGGAAACUCGUUUCAAGAUGAGAUCUGCCGGGGCCUUGAGCCCCCUAAAGAGUCGUUCAAGACCAGGACGUUGAUAGGUCGGGUGUGGAAGCGCAGUAAUGCGUUAAGCUAACCGAUACUAAUUGCUCGUGCGGCUUGACCA